UACGAAGGGGGCUAGCGUUGUUCGGAAUUACUGGGCGUAAAGCGUGCGCAGGCGGCCAUCCAAGUCAGUGGUGAAAGCCUGGAGCUCAACUCCAGAACUGCCAUUGAAACUGUUAGACUUGAGUACGAGAGAGGUGAGUGGAAUUCCCAGUGUAGAGGUGAAAUUCGUAGAUAUUGGGAAGAACACCAGUGGCGAAGGCGGCUCACUGGCUCGUAACUGACGCUCAGGCGCGACAGCGUGGGGAUCAAACAGG
This 253-nucleotide ribosomal RNA is filed under the name uncultured bacterium. Its description in RNAcentral is "partial 16S ribosomal RNA". It matches the Rfam family "Bacterial small subunit ribosomal RNA", at positions 524 to 776 of the family's 1533-position model. The record is from RNAcentral.